GACGAACGCUGGCGGCGUGCUUAACACAUGCAAGUCGAGCGGUAAGGCCCUUUCGGGGGUACACCGAGCGGCGAACGGGUGAGUAACACGUGGGGUGACCUGCCCUCAGCUCUGGGAUAAGCCUGGGAAACCGGGUCUAAUACCGGAUAUGACUCCAUGACGCAUGUUGUGGGGUGGAAAGCCUUGUGCGGCUGAGGAUGGGCCCGCGGCCUAUCAGCUUGUUGGUGGGGUNAUGGCCUACCAAGGCGACGACGGGUAGCCGGCCUGGGAGGGCGACCGGCCACACUGGGACUGAGACACGGCCCAGACUCCUACGGGAGGCAGCAGGUGGGGAAUCUUGCGCAAUGGGCGAAAGCCUGACGCAGCGACGCCGCGUGAGGGAUGACGGCCU
RNAcentral lists this ribosomal RNA (391 nucleotides) under uncultured bacterium. RNAcentral's name for it is "bacterial SSU rRNA". It matches the Rfam family "Bacterial small subunit ribosomal RNA", at positions 28 to 417 of the family's 1533-position model. The record is from RNAcentral.